Molecule: signal recognition particle RNA, 262 nt
Filed under: Chlorocebus sabaeus (green monkey)
Lineage: Eukaryota; Metazoa; Chordata; Mammalia; Primates; Cercopithecidae
Description: Metazoan signal recognition particle RNA
Rfam family: Metazoan signal recognition particle RNA
About the family: The signal recognition particle (SRP) is a universally conserved ribonucleoprotein. It is involved in the co-translational targeting of proteins to membranes.
Source: Rfam by way of RNAcentral
GCCGGGCGUGGUGGCAGGUGCCUGUAGUCCCAGCUACUCGGAGGCUGAGGCGGGAGAAUGGCGUGAACCUGGGAGGCGGAGCUUGCAGUGAGCCGAGAUCGCGCCACUGCACUCCGGCCUGGGCGACACAGCGAGACUCUGUCUAAAANNNNNNNNNNUUUUAGACAGAGUCUCGCUGUGUCGCCCAGGCCGGAGUGCAGUGGCGCGAUCUCGGCUCACUGCAAGCUCCGCCUCCCAGGUUCACGCCAUUCUCCCGCCUCAG